Long non-coding RNA from Salvia splendens (bonfire salvia), 193 nucleotides. RefSeq lists it as uncharacterized. Lineage: Eukaryota; Viridiplantae; Streptophyta; Magnoliopsida; Lamiales; Lamiaceae. The transcript is spliced from 3 exons. The record is from RefSeq and is a predicted model, not a curated record.
GUUUUUAUUAUGAGAUUGUAUGGAAUGAUACGUUAUAGACGUAUCUGUAAGGAUGAUCGGCGGCGGCUUUGCUCGGCGAUCGGUUGUUCCGCACGCGAGAGAGGUUCUCGUCGGGCAGAGAAAGAAGUUAUUGAAAGCUUUGUAAGAGACGUGAAUUUUUUGGGAAAUAAACUUAUCACUCAUUACCAUAAUA